CGGGGGGGCAAGCGUUGUUCGGAAUUACUGGGCGUAAAGGGCGCGUAGGCGGCCUGCUAAGUCACACGUGAAAUCCCUCGGCUCAACCGGGGAACUGCGUGUGAUACUGGCGGGCUUGAAUUCGGGAGAGGGAUGUGGAAUUCCAGGUGUAGCGGUGAAAUGCGUAGAUAUCUGGAGGAACACCGGUGGCGAAGGCGGCAUCCUGGACCGAGAUUGACGCUGAGGCGCGAAAGCUAGGGGAGCAAACGGGAUUAGAUACCCCGGUAGUCCUAGCCCUAAACGAUGAGUGCUUGGUGUGUCGGGUAUCGAUCCCUGCCGUGCCGAAGCUAACGCAUUAAGCACUCCGCCUGGGGAGUACGGUCGCAAGGCUG
Molecule: ribosomal RNA, 371 nt
Filed under: uncultured organism
Description: bacterial SSU rRNA
Rfam family: Bacterial small subunit ribosomal RNA
Source: RNAcentral